AACGAACGCUGGCGGCAGGCCUAACACAUGCAAGUCGAGCGCCCUUUCGGGGGAGCGGCGGACGGGUGCGUAACGCGUGGGAAUAUGCCCUUCUCUACGGAAUAGCCUCGGGAAACUGAGAGUAAUACCGUAUACGCCCUUUGGGGGAAAGAUUUAUCGGGGAAGGAUUAGCCCGCGUUGGAUUAGGUAGUUGGUGGGGUAAUGGCCUACCAAGCCGACGAUCCAUAGCUGGUUUGAGAGGAUGAUCAGACACACUGGGACUGAGACACGGCCCAGACUCCUACGGGAAGCAGCAGUGGGGAAUCUUAGACCAUGGGGGCAACCCUGAUCUAGCCAUGCCGCGUGAGUGAUGAAGGCCUUAGGGUUGUAAAGCUCUUUCAGCUGGGAAGAUAAUGACGGUACCAGCAGAAGAAGCCCCGGCUAACUCCGUG
Molecule: ribosomal RNA, 431 nt
Filed under: uncultured bacterium
Lineage: Bacteria
Description: partial 16S ribosomal RNA
Rfam family: Bacterial small subunit ribosomal RNA
Source: RNAcentral